RNAcentral lists this ribosomal RNA (253 nucleotides) under uncultured bacterium. Its description in RNAcentral is "partial 16S ribosomal RNA". It matches the Rfam family "Bacterial small subunit ribosomal RNA", at positions 524 to 776 of the family's 1533-position model. The record is from RNAcentral.
GACAGAGGAGCCAAGCGUUGUCCGGAUUGACUGGGCGUAAAGCGCACGCAGGCGGUUCGGCGCGUGGGGUGUGAAAGCUGGCGGCUUAACUGCCAGACGCCAUCCCAUACGGCUGGGCUCGAGCCCUGCAGAGGUCCAUGGAAUUGCCGGUGUAGUGGUGAAAUGCGUAGAGAUCGGCAGGAACACCCAGGGGGAAACCAGUGGACUGGGCAGGAGCUGACGCUCAGGUGCGAAAGCGUGGGGAGCGAACCGG